CAAGCAGCGGAGCGUUGUUGGUUUUAAUUCGAUGUUACACGAAGAACCUUACCAGGGUUUUGACAUGCAAGUGGUAGGAAGCCGAAAGGUGACCGACCCUUCGGGGAGCUUGCACAGGUGCUGCAUGGCUGUCGUCAGCUCGUGUCGUGAGAUGUUCGGUUAAGUCCGCUAACGAGCGCAACCCUCGUCGUGUGUUAUACGUGUCACACGAUACUGCCGGUAUCAAGCCGGAGGAAGGUGGGGAUGACGUCAAGUCCUCAUGGCCUUUAUGCCCAGGGCUACACACGUGCUACAACGGGCGGUACAAAGAGAAGCAACCUCGCGAGGGUGAGCAAAUCUCAAAAAGCCGUUCUCAGUUCGGAUUGAAGUCUGCAACUCGACUCCAUGAAGCCGGAAUCGCUAGUAAUCGUGGAUCAGCAUGCCACGGUGAAUACGUUCCCGGGCCUU
RNAcentral lists this ribosomal RNA (447 nucleotides) under uncultured Anaerolineaceae bacterium. RNAcentral's name for it is "bacterial SSU rRNA". It matches the Rfam family "Bacterial small subunit ribosomal RNA", at positions 926 to 1382 of the family's 1533-position model. The record is from RNAcentral. Lineage: Bacteria; Bacillati; Chloroflexota; Anaerolineae; Anaerolineales; Anaerolineaceae.